AUGGACAACAUCGUGGUUGUUCUCAUUCUGUUCAGCAUCGCACAAGGAUCCUUUUCCAGUCUGCAGGUGACCCAGUCUGGCCCAGCGAUGAUGAAGCCGGGAGGGUCCUUCAAAGUGACCUGCAUCGUCUCCGGGGGCCAAGUCAAUGAUUAUUACUGGAAUUGGAACCGGCAGCUUCCCGGGAAAGUCCUGGAAUGGCUGGGAUUCAUUCGGAGCACUGAUCGAGGAGGAACCACGCAGUACAGCCCAACAUUCAGCAGCCGAAUCAGCAUCACAAGGGACAACUCCAGGAACGAGGUCUAUCUUCAGCUGACCUCCCUGACGGCUGCAGACACUGCAGUGUAUUAUUGUGCAGGAGGCACAGAGAGGUGA
This is a non-coding RNA of Gekko japonicus, 372 nucleotides long. Lineage: Eukaryota; Metazoa; Chordata; Lepidosauria; Squamata; Gekkonidae. The record is from the annotation of a RefSeq genome assembly.